RNAcentral lists this ribosomal RNA (1120 nucleotides) under Serrasentis sagittifer. RNAcentral's name for it is "SSU rRNA". It matches the Rfam family "Eukaryotic small subunit ribosomal RNA", at positions 41 to 1172 of the family's 1831-position model. The record is from RNAcentral. Lineage: Eukaryota; Metazoa; Acanthocephala; Palaeacanthocephala; Echinorhynchida; Rhadinorhynchidae.
AGAUUAAGCCAUGCAUGCGUAAGUGAAUACAAGCUACUGUGAAAACCGCGAAUGGCUUAUUAUAUCAGUUGUAGUUUAUUGAGCAAAACGUUUACAGGACAACUGUGGAAAACCUAGAGCUAAUACAUGCGUUUUGUCCUGACGUUCGCAAGGAUGCAAAAAUCAGAUCAAAGCCAACGUUUCCUUCGGGAUCCAAAGCGUGAUGACUCUGGGUAGACUUUCUGAUUGCACUGGCUUCGACCAGGCGACGGCGACUCCAAACAUCUGACCUAUCAACUUUUGAUGGUAGUUGAUUUUACUACCCUGGUUGCCACGGGUAACGGGGAAUCGGGGUUCGAUUCCGGAGAGAGAGCAUGAGAAAUGGCUGUCACACCCAAGGGUGGCAGCAGGCGCGCAAAUUACCCAAUCCCCGAUCGGGGAGGUAGUGACGAGAAAUAUCGAUGCCGCGAUAAAAAAUCCGGCAGUUGAAAUGAGGACAAUGAAGGGAUUUUAUCGAGAAUCUAUUGGAGGGCAAGUUCUGGUGCCAGCAGCCGCGGUAAUUCCAGCUCGUUGAGCGUAUGUUAAAGUUGCUGCGGUUUUUUCGCUCGUCGUUGGACAUCAGGAAAUGGGCCGUAGACAACCAAGUGUUGGUACUACGGUUUCGUUCCUAAUUAAACGCUUGUUGACUGAUGAUGCACUUAACUGUGUGUCACUUUAGAGGGGGACUGUCACUUUGAGAAAUUCAGUGUGCUCAACGCAGGCUUUGUGCAAGAAUAAUGCUGCAUAGGAUGACGGAAAAAGGCUUCGGCUCCGUUUCGUUGGUUUUCGAAAGCAGAGGUCAUGAUUAAUCGGGACAGACGGGGGCAUUCGUAUUGCGGUGCUAGAAGUGAAAUUGGGUGACCAUCGCAAGACGAACAACUGCGAAAGCAUUUGCCAAGAAUGUUUUCAUUAGUCAAGAACGAAAGUUAGAGGAUCGAAGACGAUUAGAUACCGUCCUAGUUCUAACUGUAAACUGUGGGAGCUGGGCAUUCGCCAACGCCUUAUCUUGGCGAGCACUCUCCGGGAAACCAAAGUGAUCGGGUUCCGGGGAGAGUAUGGUUGCAAAAUCGAAACUUUUUGGAAUUGACGGAGGGGCACACCA